GUGAAGUUUUGCCGAUUGGAAAAAUGUCUAGCGCAGUGGAUGCUGUUGGAAAUCCGAUCCCAACAUCGGCGGUGCUGAUGUCGGCGUCGAAGCACAUAGAUAUUAGGUGCCGGAACGAGAAUGUAGCAUAUCUCAAGUGCAAGAAGGACGAUCCAAACCCGGAGAAAUGCCUCCAAAAAGGUCAACAAGUCACUCGCUGUGUUCUUAGCCUGUUGAAGGAUCUUCAUCAGAGGUGUAACAAAGAGAUGGAUGCUUAUGCUGGAUGCAUGUACUACAACACAAAUGAGUUUGAGAUGUGUCGUAAUGAGCAGAAGGAUUUUGAGAAAGCCUGUCCUUAUUGACUCGACUGGCGAAUGAUGUUUUUCAUUUAAGAAAUAAAAACUUGAAUGUAUUUUGCAAACAGAGAAGAGCAUAUUGUUGUUAGCUACCUUUCAUCAAUAUGUUUGUGUUUGGAACCCUUUCACAGGGCACUUGCCAAUUUGAUGUUACUCUUAAAUUUGUCUUCAGUAUAAAUCAUGAAGCAGAAAUUCUUACAUAACUUGUUUUUA
RNAcentral lists this unclassified non-coding RNA (548 nucleotides) under Hevea brasiliensis (rubber tree). Lineage: Eukaryota; Viridiplantae; Streptophyta; Magnoliopsida; Malpighiales; Euphorbiaceae. The record is from RNAcentral.